RNAcentral lists this ribosomal RNA (506 nucleotides) under uncultured bacterium. Its description in RNAcentral is "partial 16S ribosomal RNA". It matches the Rfam family "Bacterial small subunit ribosomal RNA", at positions 29 to 523 of the family's 1533-position model. The record is from RNAcentral.
AGUGAACGCUGGCGGUAGGCCUAACACAUGCAAGUCGAACGGCAGCACAGGAGAGCUUGCUCUCUGGGUGGCGAGUGGCGGACGGGUGAGGAAUACAUCGGAAUCUACUCUGUCGUGGGGGAUAACGUAGGGAAACUUACGCUGAUACCGCAUACGACCUACGGGUGAAAGCAGGGGACCUUCGGGCCUUGCGCGAUUGAAUGAGCCGAUGUCGGAUUAGCUAGUUGGCGGGGUAAAGGCCCACCAAGGCGACGAUCCGUAGCUGGUCUGAGAGGAUGAUCAGCCACACUGGAACUGGGACACGGUCCAGAGUCCUACGGGAGGCAGCAGUGGGGAAUAUUGGGCAAUGGGCGCAAGCCUGAUCCAGCCAUACCGCGUGGGUGAAGAAGGCCUUCGGGUUGUAAAGCCCUUUUGUUGGGAAAGAAAUCCAGCUGGCUAAUACCCGGUUGGGAUGACGGUACCCAAAGAAUAAGCACCGGCUAACUUCGUGCCAGCCGCCGCCGUAA